This 558-nucleotide ribosomal RNA is filed under the name uncultured bacterium. RNAcentral's name for it is "bacterial SSU rRNA". It matches the Rfam family "Bacterial small subunit ribosomal RNA", at positions 359 to 917 of the family's 1533-position model. The record is from RNAcentral.
GAGUGGAUGGGCGCAGCCUGAUCCAGCCAUGCCGCGUGUCUGAGAAGGCCUUCGGGUUGUAAAGGACUUUUGUCAGGGAAGAAAAGGACAGGGUUAAUACCCCUGUCUGAUGACGGUACCUGAAGAAUAAGCACCGGCUAACUACGUGCCAGCAGCCGCGGUAAUACGUAGGGUGCGAGCGUUAAUCGGAAUUACUGGGCGUAAAGCGAGCGCAGACGGUUACUUAAGCAGGAUGUGAAAUCCCCGGGCUCAACCUGGGAACUGCGUUCUGAACUGGGUGACUAGAGUGUGUCAGAGGGAGGUAGAAUUCCACGUGUAGCAGUGAAAUGCGUAGAGAUGUGGAGGAAUACCGAUGGCGAAGGCAGCCUCCUGGGAUAACACUGACGUUCAUGCUCGAAAGCGUGGGUAGCAAACAGGAUUAGAUACCCUGGUAGUCCACGCCCUAAACGAUGUCAAUUAGCUGUUGGGCAACUUGAUUGCUUAGUAGCGUAGCUAACGCGUGAAAUUGACCGCCUGGGGAGUACGGUCGCAAGAUUAAAACUCAAAGGAAUUGACGGG